GGCGGGGACACCGUGUUCCCUCUACUGCCGAAGAAACAUUAAAGAUGGAGUCACAAAGGAGGACAAGGAGAUCCAGCUGCUACCCUGCAGAAGUUCGAAUGUUCUUGAUGCAUAAGAAAAAAACAUUGUUUUAGUUUACAGUUCUGUUCCAGAUAUUCAAAUAAAGGUAGGACAUUUCAGACUCACUGA
Acanthopagrus latus (yellowfin seabream) is the source of this 189-nucleotide long non-coding RNA. RefSeq lists it as uncharacterized. The record is from RefSeq and is a predicted model, not a curated record. The transcript is spliced from 2 exons. NCBI's taxonomy places the organism in Eukaryota, Metazoa, Chordata, Actinopteri, Spariformes, Sparidae.